CUGCCGGAGUUUCGUGUUUGAAUAAAGCGUUCGUCUUGUCAGCUGUUGCUGCUCUGGAUAAAAAGCAUGGAGGUGAUUCUUCAACUGGAGAACUAAGAGAUUGGCAUAGCAGAAACACCGGUGAAAUUAUUAUAGUCUCUCAAGAACCAAGUUUUGUUUACAGCAAAGGAAAACCACUCUCCUCUUGACUUAUAUCAAAAUCAUCUUGAAAUUCUUGAAUUCACUGCCCUUCAUGGGAUGAUGGACGCCAGACUAAAUCACAGCCCUCGUCUGCACUGCAGAGUUUCCCCUCGGAGGACCGGAGUUAAUCAGCGCCACUGACACCGCAGGAACGUCUUCAGGCCGCUGAAUUUUAUAUGACCCUUAUUCCUUGGCUGGGAUCGUUUUGAGCCCUUUGAAAUCCGUUGAGCACGACUGAAGUCCACUAUGGAAAACCUUAAAUUCUUUGCGACUGAAGAAAGAAAGACAUGAAUAUCUUGGAUGACAUGGGGU
Molecule: long non-coding RNA, 492 nt
Organism: Labeo rohita (rohu)
Lineage: Eukaryota; Metazoa; Chordata; Actinopteri; Cypriniformes; Cyprinidae
Exons: 4
Source: RefSeq, a predicted model, not a curated record